UUACGAUUUAUUUUUGUACAUUUUUAUAUACACAAAAGGUUGAUAUUAUAAAGGAUAAUGAUGG
This is a long non-coding RNA of Maniola jurtina (meadow brown), 64 nucleotides long. RefSeq lists it as uncharacterized. The transcript has 4 exons. Lineage: Eukaryota; Metazoa; Arthropoda; Insecta; Lepidoptera; Nymphalidae. The record is from RefSeq and is a predicted model, not a curated record.